UUAAGCGACCAAGCGUACACGGUGGAUGCCCUGGCAGUCAGAGGCGAUGAAGGACGUGCUAAUCUGCGAUAAGCGCCGGUAAGGUGAUAUGAACCGUUAUAACCGGCGAUUUCCGAAUGGGGAAACCCAGUGUGAUUCGUCACACUAUCAUUAACUGAAUCCAUAGGUUAAUGAGGCGAACCGGGGGAACUGAAACAUCUAAGUACCCCGAGGAAAAGAAAUCAACCGAGAUUCCCCCAGUAGCGGCGAGCGAACGGGGAGGAGCCCAGAGCCUGAAUCAGCAUGUGUGUUAGUGGAAGCGUCUGGAAAGGCGCGCGAUACAGGGUGACAGCCCCGUACACAAAAGCGCAUAUGCUGUGAGCUCGAUGAGUAGGGCGGGACACGUGGUAUCCUGUCUGAAUAUGGGGGGACCAUCCUCCAAGGCUAAAUACUCCUGACUGACCGAUAGUGAACCAGUACCGUGAGGGAAAGGCGAAAAGAACCCCGGCGAGGGGAGUGAAACAGAACCUGAAACCGUGUACGUACAAGCAGUGGGAGCACAGGUUUACCUGUGUGACUGCGUACCUUUUGUAUAAUGGGUCAGCGACUUAUAUUCUGUAGCAAGGUUAACCGUAUAGGGGAGCCGAAGGGAAACCGAGUCUUAACCGGGCGUUAAGUUGCAGGGUAUAGACCCGAAACCCGGUGAUCUAGCCAUGGGCAGGUUGAAGGUUGGGUAACACUAACUGGAGGACCGAACCGACUAAUGUUGAAAAAUUAGCGGAUGACCUGUGGCUGGGGGUGAAAGGCCAAUCAAACCGGGAGAUAGCUGGUUCUCCCCGAAAGCUAUUUAGGUAGCGCCUCGUGAAUUCAUCUCCGGGGGUAGAGCACUGUUUCGGCUAGGGGGCCAUCCCGGCUUACCAACCCGAUGCAAACUGCGAAUACCGGAGAAUGUUAUCACGGGAGACACACGGCGGGUGCUAACGUCCGUCGUGAAGAGGGAAACAACCCAGACCGCCAGCUAAGGUCCCAAAGUCAUGGUUAAGUGGGAAACGAUGUGGGAAGGCCCAGACAGCCAGGAUGUUGGCUUAGAAGCAGCCAUCAUUUAAAGAAAGCGUAAUAGCUCACUGGUCGAGUCGGCCUGCGCGGAAGAUGUAACGGGGCUAAACCAUGCACCGAAGCUGCGGCAGCGACGCUUAUGCGUUGUUGGGUAGGGGAGCGUUCUGUAAGCCUGCGAAGGUGGCCUGUGAGGGUUGCUGGAGGUAUCAGAAGUGCGAAUGCUGACAUAAGUAACGAUAAAGCGGGUGAAAAGCCCGCUCGCCGGAAGACCAAGGGUUCCUGUCCAACGUUAAUCGGGGCAGGGUGAGUCGACCCCUAAGGCGAGGCCGAAAGGCGUAGUCGAUGGGAAACGGGUUAAUAUUCCCGUACUUGGUGUUACUGCGAAGGGGGGACGGAGAAGGCUAUGUUGGCCGGGCGACGGUUGUCCCGGUUUAAGCGUGUAGGCUGACUUUCCAGGCAAAUCCGGAGAGUCAAGGCUGAGGCGUGACGACGAGGCACCACGGUGCUGAAGCAACAAAUGCCCUGCUUCCAGGAAAAGCCUCUAAGCAUCAGGUAACAUCAAAUCGUACCCCAAACCGACACAGGUGGUCAGGUAGAGAAUACCAAGGCGCUUGAGAGAACUCGGGUGAAGGAACUAGGCAAAAUGGUGCCGUAACUUCGGGAGAAGGCACGCUGACAUGUAGGUGAAGUGGUUUACCCAUGGAGCUGAAGUCAGUCGAAGAUACCAGCUGGCUGCAACUGUUUAUUAAAAACACAGCACUGUGCAAACACGAAAGUGGACGUAUACGGUGUGACGCCUGCCCGGUGCCGGAAGGUUAAUUGAUGGGGUCAGCGCAAGCGAAGCUCCUGAUCGAAGCCCCGGUAAACGGCGGCCGUAACUAUAACGGUCCUAAGGUAGCGAAAUUCCUUGUCGGGUAAGUUCCGACCUGCACGAAUGGCGUAAUGAUGGCCAGGCUGUCUCCACCCGAGACUCAGUGAAAUUGAACUCGCUGUGAAGAUGCAGUGUACCCGCGGCAAGACGGAAAGACCCCGUGAACCUUUACUAUAGCUUGACACUGAACAUUGAGCCUUGAUGUGUAGGAUAGGUGGGAGGCUUUGAAGCGUGGACGCCAGUCUGCGUGGAGCCAACCUUGAAAUACCACCCUUUAAUGUUUGAUGUUCUAACGUGGACCCGUGAUCCGGGUUGCGGACAGUGUCUGGUGGGUAGUUUGACUGGGGCGGUCUCCUCCUAAAGAGUAACGGAGGAGCACGAAGGUUGGCUAAUCCUGGUCGGACAUCAGGAGGUUAGUGCAAUGGCAUAAGCCAGCUUGACUGCGAGCGUGACGGCGCGAGCAGGUGCGAAAGCAGGUCAUAGUGAUCCGGUGGUUCUGAAUGGAAGGGCCAUCGCUCAACGGAUAAAAGGUACUCCGGGGAUAACAGGCUGAUACCGCCCAAGAGUUCAUAUCGACGGCGGUGUUUGGCACCUCGAUGUCGGCUCAUCACAUCCUGGGGCUGAAGUAGGUCCCAAGGGUAUGGCUGUUCGCCAUUUAAAGUGGUACGCGAGCUGGGUUUAGAACGUCGUGAGACAGUUCGGUCCCUAUCUGCCGUGGGCGCUGGAGAACUGAGGGGGGCUGCUCCUAGUACGAGAGGACCGGAGUGGACGCAUCACUGGUGUUCGGGUUGUCAUGCCAAUGGCACUGCCCGGUAGCUAAAUGCGGAAGAGAUAAGUGCUGAAAGCAUCUAAGCACGAAACUUGCCCCGAGAUGAGUUCUCCCUGAGACUUAGAGUCUCCUGAAGGAACGUUGAAGACGACGACGUUGAUAGGCCGGGUGUGUAAGCGCAGCGAUGCGUUGAGCUAACCGGUACUAAUGAACCGUGAGGCUUAACCUU
RNAcentral lists this ribosomal RNA (2904 nucleotides) under Salmonella enterica. RNAcentral's name for it is "bacterial LSU rRNA". It matches the Rfam family "Bacterial large subunit ribosomal RNA". The record is from RNAcentral. Lineage: Bacteria; Pseudomonadati; Pseudomonadota; Gammaproteobacteria; Enterobacterales; Enterobacteriaceae.